Molecule: long non-coding RNA, 303 nt
Filed under: Struthio camelus australis
Lineage: Eukaryota; Metazoa; Chordata; Aves; Struthioniformes; Struthionidae
Description: lncRNA (ENSSCUG00000016727.1)
Source: RNAcentral
AGGGGAUCAAUAUGCAACAGCCUCUCAAGAAGCUAUGUCCUUCAUCUUAUUUCUCAUCAGCAGAUGGGAAAUGAAAAUCUGAUCUGUCAUCAGUCACAUAGUGCAUCUGAAAGAUUACUGAAGAAGUUUAUUACUGCAGAAUAUUACUCCAGAAGUUGGAGGUUUGUCUUUUCUACAGUAUCUGACUGGCUUCAAGAGACAUCAUCUGUGAUUAGCCGUAUCUUCACGGGGAUAGCAGCAACUUGUUUUAGGUUUCCUAGCCAUUGAAGAGAGCAUGUGUGGUGAGAGAACUCAAUCCAUUAG